GUGAGUGUGUGUUUCCUUCCUUUUUUUCGUUUGCCUUAUGCCAGGUUUUUCUUUUUGUGGUAGAAUGAGAAAUUCACGGAGCUUGAAGGAUCCUCAGACGAUGAUCUGGCCCUUUCUUCUUUUCUCUUGCUGGGGAAUAUUUUCCUGAGCGUGCCUGAUGUUUCCUUGGGUUGAGUUUUUUGGGGACCGGGUACUGCCAGGGAUGGAAGGAGAGAGGAGCCAAGCCAGGGUGCACCCACAUGGAGCCACUUGGAUCUGUCAGGUGUCAUCAGGAGGUUGAGGGCUGGCUCCUGGGUGAUAUGUUGGGAACAGCUGCUGUCUGCACUCUGGGACGUGUGGCCUUCUGUUGCCUUUCUGAAGCUCUCUACCAGUGUUUUGUAAUGAAUGCUACUGUAUGUCUGCCUGGAACUCUUCUGCUCUGGCUUCAGCGCAUUCUGUCCAUG
Molecule: long non-coding RNA, 443 nt
Filed under: Marmota monax (woodchuck)
Lineage: Eukaryota; Metazoa; Chordata; Mammalia; Rodentia; Sciuridae
Source: RNAcentral